GACGGACGCUGGCGGCGUGCCUAAUACAUGCAAGUAGAACGCUGAAGGAGGAGCUUGCUUCUCUGGAUGAGUUGCGAACGGGUGAGUAACGCGUAGGUAACCUGCCUGGUAGCGGGGGAUAACUAUUGGAAACGAUAGCUAAUACCGCAUAAUAGUAGAUGUUGCAUGACAUUUACUUAAAAGGUGCAAUUGCAUCACUACCAGAUGGACCUGCGUUGUAUUAGCUAGUUGGUGGGGUAACGGCUCACCAAGGCGACGAUACAUAGCCGACCUGAGAGGGUGAUCGGCCACACUGGGACUGGGACACGGCCCAGACUCCUACGGGAGGCAGCAGUAGGGAAUCUUCGGCAAUGGACGAAAGUCUGACCGAGCAACGCCGCGUGAGUGAAGAAGGGUUUCGGAUCGUAAAGCUCUGUUGUAAGAGAAGAACGAGUGUGAGAGUGGAAAGUUCACACUGUGACGGUAUCUUACCAGAAAGGGACGGCUAACUACGUG
Molecule: ribosomal RNA, 495 nt
Filed under: uncultured bacterium
Lineage: Bacteria
Description: partial 16S ribosomal RNA
Rfam family: Bacterial small subunit ribosomal RNA
Source: RNAcentral